Molecule: ribosomal RNA, 388 nt
Filed under: uncultured bacterium
Lineage: Bacteria
Description: bacterial SSU rRNA
Rfam family: Bacterial small subunit ribosomal RNA
Source: RNAcentral
AUUGAACGCUGGCGGCAUGCCUUACACAUGCAAGUCGAACGGCAGCACGGGGGCAACCCUGGUGGCGAGUGGCGAACGGGUGAGUAAUAUAUCGGAACGUGCCCUAGAGUGGGGGAUAACGUAGCGAAAGUUACGCUAAUACCGCAUACGAUCUAUGGAUGAAAGUGGGGGAUCGCAAGACCUCAUGCUCGUGGAGCGGCCGAUAUCUGAUUAGCUAGNGGUAGGGUAAAGCCUACCAAGGCAUCGAUCAGUAGCUGGUUUGAGAGAACGACCAGCCACACUGGGACUGAGACACGGCCCAGACUCCUACGGGAGGCAGCAGUGGGGAAUUUUGGACAAUGGGGGCAACCCUGAUCCAGCAAUGCCGCGUGAGUGAAGAAGGCCUCGG